This 467-nucleotide ribosomal RNA is filed under the name uncultured bacterium. Its description in RNAcentral is "partial 16S ribosomal RNA". It matches the Rfam family "Bacterial small subunit ribosomal RNA", at positions 28 to 507 of the family's 1533-position model. The record is from RNAcentral.
GAUGAACGCUGGCGGCGUGCUUAACACAUGCAAGUCGAACGGAAAGGCCCAAGCUUGCUUGGGUACUCGAGUGGCGAACGGGUGAGUAACACGUGGGUGAUCUGCCCUGCACUUCGGGAUAAGCCUGGGAAACUGGGUCUAAUACCGGAUAGGACCACUUCUUGGAUGUUGUGGUGGAAAGUUUUUUCGGUGUGGGAUGAGCUCGCGGCCUAUCAGCUUGUUGGUGGGGUAAUGGCCUACCAAGGCGUCGACGGGUAGCCGGCCUGAGAGGGUGUACGGCCACAUUGGGACUGAGAUACGGCCCAGACUCCUACGGGAGGCAGCAGUGGGGAAUAUUGCACAAUGGGCGCAAGCCUGAUGCAGCGACGCCGCGUGGGGGAUGACGGCCUUCGGGUUGUAAACUCCUUUCGCUAGGGACGAAGCGUUUUGUGACGGUACCUGGAGAAGAAGCACUGGCUAACUACGUG